AGUUAAUUGAUUAAUUAAUUUAAUAAUGAUUACAUAAUAAAAAUAGCAAAAAAAGGAUUAAAUUGAACUCUAAAAACCAAAUUCGGGGGCAAAUUUGUGAAUAAAUAAAAGGGAAGGACUAUUCUGAACACGCGAAUAACAUGGAGGGAUUGAAAGGGUAAUUUUCCCUUUCCCCCAAAACGACGUCGUUCGAAUGGGGGCUAAACUGAAAUGGCAAAAAAAAAUCACGGGGUAAAAUAAAAAAAAUUAAAAAUACUUAAUUGAAAAGCCAUUAAAAAGAGGAAGGGCUAAAAGUGCAAUUAGCCCUUCCAACAAAAACACGCGGAUCCUAGCCAUGCAGUGGGUUGGGUUCGGGUCGGCCUCCCCAAAAUGACGCCGGCGCCGUCGACCGUGUGUUCGAGGUUUUUCUUUUUUC
Molecule: long non-coding RNA, 415 nt
Filed under: Gossypium barbadense (sea-island cotton)
Lineage: Eukaryota; Viridiplantae; Streptophyta; Magnoliopsida; Malvales; Malvaceae
Description: long non-coding RNA (GBAR_LNC013968)
Source: RNAcentral